This 235-nucleotide unclassified non-coding RNA is filed under the name Hevea brasiliensis (rubber tree). The record is from RNAcentral. Lineage: Eukaryota; Viridiplantae; Streptophyta; Magnoliopsida; Malpighiales; Euphorbiaceae.
GAACAACUUGCCACGAUUGCCAAAGAACAUGGUGGUAUCUUGAGAUUUAUACAAGUUUCCUGCCUGGGUGCAUCUUCAUCAUCUCCAUCCAGAUUUCUGAGAGCUAAAGCUGCUGCUGAGGAAUCUGUUUUAAAGGCAUUCCCUGAGGCAACAAUUCUGAGACCUGCAGCUAUGAUUGGUACAGAGGACCGUAUUAUGAAUACUUGGGCACAUUUUGCUAAAAAAUAUGGCUUCA